AAAGUCUGAUGGAGCAACGCCGCGUGAGUGAUGAAGGUUUUCGGAUCGUAAAACUCUGUUGUAAGGGAAGAACCAGUAUGUCAGGCAAUGGACGUACCUUGACGGUACCUUAUUAGAAAGCCACGGCUAACUACGUGCCAGCAGCCGCGGUAAUACGUAGGUGGCAAGCGUUGUCCGGAUUUACUGGGUGUAAAGGGCGUGUAGCCGGGAAGGCAAGUCAGAUGUGAAAUCUGGAGGCUCAACCUCCAAACUGCAUUUGAAACUGCUUUUCUUGAGUGUCGGAGAGGUAAUCGGAAUUCCUUGUGUAGCGGUGAAAUGCGUAGAUAUAAGGAAGAACACCAGUGGCGAAGGCGGAUUACUGGACGAUAACUGACGGUGAGGCGCGAAAGCGUGGGGAGCAAACA
RNAcentral lists this ribosomal RNA (404 nucleotides) under uncultured Oscillibacter sp. Its description in RNAcentral is "bacterial SSU rRNA". It matches the Rfam family "Bacterial small subunit ribosomal RNA", at positions 378 to 774 of the family's 1533-position model. Lineage: Bacteria; Bacillati; Bacillota; Clostridia; Eubacteriales; Oscillospiraceae. The record is from RNAcentral.